Molecule: ribosomal RNA, 301 nt
Filed under: uncultured bacterium
Lineage: Bacteria
Description: partial 16S ribosomal RNA
Rfam family: Bacterial small subunit ribosomal RNA
Source: RNAcentral
CAGCAGCCGCGGGAAUACAGAGGGUGCAAGCGUUAAUCGGAAUUACUGGGCGUAAAGCGCGCGUAGGUGGUUCGCCAAGUCGGAUGUGAAAGCCCGGGGCUCAACCCCGGAACUGCAUCCGAGACUGGCAGGCUUGAGACCGGGAGAGGAGGGUGGAAUAUCCAGUGUAGAGGUGAAAUUCGUAGAUAUUGGAUGGAGCACCGGUGGCGAAAGCGGCUCUCUGGCCCGGAUCUGACGCUGAGGCGCGAAAGCGUGGGGAGCAAACAGGAUUAGAUACCCGCGUAGUCCCUGUCUCUUAUAC